Molecule: transfer RNA, 74 nt
Filed under: Danio rerio (zebrafish)
Lineage: Eukaryota; Metazoa; Chordata; Actinopteri; Cypriniformes; Danionidae
Description: tRNA-Ile (TAT) (tRNA-Ile-TAT-15 1 to 4)
Rfam family: tRNA
About the family: Transfer RNA (tRNA) molecules are approximately 80 nucleotides in length. Their secondary structure includes four short double-helical elements and three loops (D, anti-codon, and T loops).
Source: RNAcentral
GCUCCAGUGGCGCAAUCGGUCAGCGUGCGGUACUUAUAAUGCCGAGGUUGUGAGUUCGAGCCUCACCUGGAGCA